This is a long non-coding RNA of Mauremys reevesii (Reeves's turtle), 324 nucleotides long. RefSeq lists it as uncharacterized. The record is from RefSeq and is a predicted model, not a curated record. The transcript is spliced from 3 exons. NCBI's taxonomy places the organism in Eukaryota, Metazoa, Chordata, Testudines, Geoemydidae.
AGCCUACUGUAAUGAGGAAGGAUCUCAGAGGCAUGCAAGAGCUGAUCUGGAGAGACUAGGGGAUGCACAUCUGAGCUGUUUAUCUGCAAAGAAAGGCAUAGUCAAUCCAAAAUACACUCCAGCACCACCUGUUUCCGCUGUUCCUAAGGCCUUGUCUACACUACUGUGUGGAGUACCACAGUUGACCAGAGAGCGCUCUGCCAUUGAUUUAGGGGGUCUUCACUGGGCCCGCUAAAUCGACACCCGCUACAUCAAGUGCAGCAGCGCCAAUCUACAGAGAUUUAGCACUUGAACCUAUAAGCACAUACCCAGCACAAAGGAGAG